UAAUGCAGGAGAGGAGCACUGCCCAGGCAGGCAUUUUGUGGAGCCAUAACUCCAAAACAAGAUGCUGAUGGGGAGCAGUGCCGAGAUGAUUUCAACGUAUGGGUUGAGAUUGUCGGUUAUCGGGGCUGAAUCCCCUUAACUGUCACUGGUCUCCCCAGUGAAGAGCUUCUGAAGGU
RNAcentral lists this non-coding RNA (176 nucleotides) under Vibrio marisflavi. Its description in RNAcentral is "Lysine". It matches the Rfam family "Lysine riboswitch aptamer". From Rfam's summary of the family: Riboswitches are metabolite binding domains within certain messenger RNAs that serve as precision sensors for their corresponding targets. Allosteric rearrangement of mRNA structure is mediated by ligand binding, and this results in modulation of gene expression. Lineage: Bacteria; Pseudomonadati; Pseudomonadota; Gammaproteobacteria; Vibrionales; Vibrionaceae. The record is from RNAcentral.